AUCCCUGCAAAGAAAGAAAAGAAAGUGGAGUAAAAGUGGUGCGAUUCCAUUUACUUCAGAAUCAUUUCAAAAGUUGAAUGUUUCAAGUUUAAUUUGUGUUUAUCAUAGCAUAUAAUACCUUGUAGAUGGAAUUAUAUGUUUCUCUUGAAAUUGUAUUAAGUGCUUUUUCAUGACGUUAUGUAACAUUCAUAUUCAUCAGAUUAUCAUGUAGAUAUAAUGUAUUGAUUGGACAUUUGAUUUUAUCAAGCAAUAUUAAUCUGCUUUAUUAUACUAUAUUUGAUUCGGUGCAUUUCUAUUUAUAUGAUCAUAUUUACACAUUGGUCAGAGCAGAUUAGCGGAGAAUCAAAAGAAAGGUGUGUAAUUAUUUUCCAGUCAUGUUUCAACAGGGAGUAAAAGCUUAAAUGGGGCCGUUUACUUCUGCACAUUUCGACGUCUGAAUUGAUGAUUGAUACCAUUAAAUUUGAUCUAAGCUGUUUGGACUUUUAGGUUUUGAAUUUUAUAAUUUUUUGACAUCAUUUACCUAGUACUCGAAGUGAUCUGAAAAUUGAUAAUUUUCAAAUAAGAGUAAUUUGAGACUGCUUGAUCGCUAGGUAAAUGAUGUUAUAAAAUCACGAAAUUUGAUUUUUAGUAAGUUAAAGUAAGUUUGAUCAAGUUUUAUGGUGCCGAUCGUCGAUUUGGAUGUCUCAAAUGAUCUAAAAAUUGACAUUUUUCGAUGGUUUAUAUAAGAUUAAUUUGAGAUACUUGAUUACUGUGUAAAUGACAUUAUAAAAUCACGAAAUCUGAUUUUUUUUUUUUUUUAGAAAGCUUAAAUAAGUUAUAUCAAGCUUAGUGGUGUUCGAUCAUUAAUUUUGAUGUCCUAUCAUCAAAAGCAAUGCGAAAGGAAACAAUUCUGUGAACCCCAAUAGGUAAAAGCAUAAUAUGUUCAAAAGGGAGAAAAAA
Molecule: long non-coding RNA, 939 nt
Organism: Ananas comosus (pineapple)
Lineage: Eukaryota; Viridiplantae; Streptophyta; Magnoliopsida; Poales; Bromeliaceae
Exons: 2
Source: RefSeq, a predicted model, not a curated record